RNAcentral lists this ribosomal RNA (465 nucleotides) under uncultured bacterium. RNAcentral's name for it is "partial 16S ribosomal RNA". It matches the Rfam family "Bacterial small subunit ribosomal RNA", at positions 338 to 795 of the family's 1533-position model. The record is from RNAcentral.
CCUACGGGAGGCAGCAGUGGGGAAUAUUGCGCAAUGCGCGAAAGCCUGACGCAGCGACGCCGCGUGAAGGAUGAAUGCCUUCGGGUCGUAAAGCUCUUUCUACAGGGAAGAAAAUGCAGAUAAGUAACCGUUUAUGUAUUGACGGUACCUGUAUAGGCAGCCCCGGCUAACUCCGUGCCAGCAGCCGCGGUAAUACGGAGGGGGCGAGCGUUGUUCGGAUUGACUGGGCGUAAAGCGCACGUAGGCGGUGUUGUAAGUCAUUAGUGAAAGCCUAGCGCUCAACCUUAGAAAUGCUAUUGAUACUAGAAGACUAGAGUAUAGGAGAGGAUGGCGGAAUUCCUGGUGUAGCGGUGAAAUGCGUAGAUAUCAGGAGGAACACCGUUAGCGAAGGCGGCUAUCUGGCUCGAAACUGACGCUGAGGUGCGAAAGCGUGGGUAGCAAACAGGAUUAGAUACCCGAGUAGUC